Molecule: transfer-messenger RNA, 361 nt
Filed under: Candidatus Hydrogenedentota bacterium
Lineage: Bacteria; Pseudomonadati; Candidatus Hydrogenedentota
Also listed under: 1 other name
Description: Candidatus Hydrogenedentes bacterium (hot springs metagenome) transfer-messenger RNA
Rfam family: transfer-messenger RNA
About the family: Bacterial tmRNA, also known as 10Sa RNA or SsrA, is named for its dual tRNA and mRNA-like properties. Its role is to liberate the mRNA from a stalled ribosome.
Source: RNAcentral
GGGGGCGAAAAGGUUUCGACGGGGAUGGUUGAGGUGUAGAACGCAUGCCGAGGUUGACCGGUUGGCCUCGUUAAAAGCCGGUCAAAAACAACUGCCAAUCAAGAAUUGGCCCUCGCUGCCUAAUAAUUGAGCAGCGCGUCCCACCCGUGAUAGCCUGCUAACGGACUGGGGCGUCAACCAGCAGGUCUGUCCUUUCGAGAUUUGCGGGGCUCGGAAGGCAGUAACAAACUCGCAUAGCGGCUAUGGUGAGCCAGCCCUGAGGCGCUCCGUAGUGGCGAAUCUAUAAAGGAUGGGCUAAGCAUGUAGUUGGGCUACACUGAAACAUCUUCGGACGCGGGUUCGAUUCCCGCCGCCUCCACCA